RNAcentral lists this ribosomal RNA (735 nucleotides) under Triticum aestivum (bread wheat). Its description in RNAcentral is "partial small subunit ribosomal RNA". Lineage: Eukaryota; Viridiplantae; Streptophyta; Magnoliopsida; Poales; Poaceae. The record is from RNAcentral.
AUGGACAAGGUAUUGUUGGAUGUCUUUGUUGAACAUCACAACAGAGGUGAUCAGGCCCAAAAUGGAUGGAAACCACAUGUGUACACUGCUGCUAUAAAGGCAAUACGUGACAAGUGUGGACUGCACAUCACAAAGGACAAAAUAUGUUCAAGGAUGAAGAGUUUUGACAAGCCCUAUGGUACGAUUAGCAAGAUUCUUUCUCAGAGUGGAUUUGGCUGGGACUGGGUCAAUAACAAGCUACUCAUGGAUAUUGAUGAUGUGUGACAUAAAUAUGUUGAGGCUAAUCCGAAGGCAGCUUGUUAAAAGAACAAAGAAGUGAAGAAUUGGGAGGCAAUCUACACAAUAUACUCCAAAGAUCAUGCAACCGGUGAUGGUGCAAUGACGAGUGCUGAAAGUAAGCGCAACGAACUAGACGAAGUAGUCAUCGAAGCCUCUCCAGAAUUGCCACCAAAAAGGAAGCGAACAGGUGAUGCUAUCUUGUGCAUGCUUGGAGACAUGAAGGGUUCUUUCCAUGAUGCUUUGAAAUCACUUGAGCCACUAGAACUGCCCAAGGUCACUCCUCGUCUUGAAAUCCUUGCUGCCCCUGAAAAGAUUCAAGACUUGACUCGUUCAGCCAUGUUGCGAGCAUAUGGUAAACUCAUCCUUAGUGAACGCCUAUUCCAAGCGCUUAUGGAGUUACCUAUGGAGUUUAUGAAGGAAUGGUUGUCGAUGCUCAACGAGAAGAACACCAUUUGA